Long non-coding RNA from Thunnus maccoyii (southern bluefin tuna), 2104 nucleotides. RefSeq lists it as uncharacterized. NCBI's taxonomy places the organism in Eukaryota, Metazoa, Chordata, Actinopteri, Scombriformes, Scombridae. The record is from RefSeq and is a predicted model, not a curated record. The transcript is spliced from 5 exons.
CCCUGCAAUCACCUUAUUCCCCUCACCUGAGUGCCCCACCCAUCUCUUCACCUGGUUCCCAUCAUGCUCAUCAGUCACCCUUCAUAUACUGGCCUAGAUCCACUUACACCUUGCCAGAUUGUCUAGUGUUUCCCUUGACUUAGACUCUGCCUGUUUCCUGGUGAAGAUUUUGUCUGUUACCUUUGGUUAAUCUUCCUGAUUUGCCUGCCUGCCUGGUUUGUGACCCUUGCUUGUUUUUUCUGGACUGAAUUAAAGGACAAUGGACUCUGCCACUGUGUCUAAGCUUGAGCAUUUGAGGUCUGAGUCAUUACAAUUGCCUUUGUGUUUUGGUGAGAUUAUCAUUCCUUACAUUUAGACAGCUUGUCCACUUUUGGUAUGAAGUUGGCCCUCAAGGAAAACUUGUGCUAUGUCCAAAAUGGAAAAGGGUUCAUCUCUGAGGAGCAUCAGUGUCCCCCAAUAUGACUGAGAUCCUAACCCCGAAAUCCUCAUAUUAAGGCCUCUGAAUGGUUAAAAUGUGGCGACUGAACUAAAUUCAGUCAUGUUUCUGAGAUGAUGCCACACUGUAACCCUGAACAUUUCUAUUAGACAAAAGCUGAGAUGGGCAACAGCAUUUAGAAACACUUCAAUGUUCAAACGAUAUUCCGAUGUAACAAACAAGUCUAAUAGAAAUAAUUUGCCACACCAGGACACAACCACCAGCAGCCUGAAUUUUUAACAGGCAGCAGGGAUUUGUGGAUCAAAACUGGAUAAGGUUCACAGAGUUUUCCCUACUAUUAUAAGACAUAGGCGCAGCGCCUAAGUAUUUUUUCAGAGCACCUAAGCCGAAUGAACAGGAAAAAAGUAUGCUGAGAAUUCCCUACCGCGUUUCAGCAAAACACACUCACAGCAGAACAGAGAGGCUACAGUGGAGACAGUGAACCAACUCCAUGCUCGUUACUGGCUGUUGGGGGACUGGAGCCUAUCCCAGCUCACGCUGGGUGAGAGGAUGAAAGCCACGCAGACAUGGGGAGAACACGCCAAUGCCACACGGACAGGCCAGAUGCAGAAGUUCUUGCUGCAGAUGACAGAGAACUACUACUCUAUGGGAUGGAAAUCUUGCCAUGUUUUGAAACUGAAAAACAAAAAAAGCUUUGAAAGGUUGAAACUUGCUUGCUGAAGGUUGCGAGUUUGAAACUAAGUUUUGAAGGCUUGCAAAAUGUUUUGAUAGGUUGAACAAAAAAAAAAAAUCUCUGCAAAAAUGAUUUUGUAUUUGAGUUUUCCUUUUUCACAGCUGCAGCUCUUUUUACAGUAUUUCUCCAAUACUGUGUUUUUGUUCUCUUGGUUUCCUGUGUUACACUUCUGUUGUCCAGUCCUUCUGGUCAUUUGGUUUUGCUUGUUCAUAUUGUUUGGGUUGUAUCUUUAAGGGCCUGUCUUGCAUUGUUAGUUAUAUUUUUUGAUGAGUUAAUGUAUGCUGGUAUUGUAUUGUAUCGUUUUCUGGGUUUUGGUUUGCUCGGAAUUUCUCUCCUGUGUUCCUGCAAUCCUCCCCAGCCAGUUUUUCCCUCUACACCUGUCUUGCAUCAUGUUUGUUAGCCCUGCUCUGCUCUCAGUUUUUUUUUCCCAGCCUGAUGUUACCUUCACACCUGCCCUGUAUCGGUCUCAUCAGCCCUGCCCUGCUCCCAGUGUCUCCCCAGCCAAUCAACUCCUAGCCUGCCCAUGUGUCUAGUCACCUGUUCCCUGUUCCCUUAUUAGCUCUAUCUGUAUUUAAGCCUUGGUUUGCAUUUCACUUUUGUUGGAUCCUCUGUUCAGUUCAGGCUGUUCCAGUCAGUCAUGUCUUGUAUUCUACUCAGCUCAGCCAGUUUUGGUUAUUUUGCCUGCAGAAGCCUCAGAAUAAAGUAGGUGGAGUGCUGGAUGUGGGAGUGAUGGAUGACGUGGUUGGAGUGGCAGGAGCGCUGGAUGGCAUUGCUGAGGGACUGGUGGGAGUGAUGGGUGUUGUGGCAUCACUUCCAUCUGCAGAUGGGAUCACUCUCACCACCUACCUCCCUGGACAGUGGAAAGAUGUCUGCCUUGUGGAACCCAGCCUUAAUAUUUUGGGUGGUGACACACGGGGGUAUACAUGCUUCAGGAG